UCGAGUCAGUAAUAAACUUCCCUUCCUGCGAGUUGCAUUGUCUUGGAAGCCUUCUCUCUUCCUGCUCGGGGAUUCGGACAUCGGGCAUAACACUAACAAGAUCCUGGAUGAUGCUGAUGAAGCUGGUACUGGACUGUGGACACUCCAUGAGUUCUCUUUCAGAUCAGUGUUCUGACUCUCUGGACGGCUGAGACCCAACUGAAAUAAAUUAAGUAUUAUAAGGACUCAUUGGAGGAACGGACCAACCCACCAGGAAUGGCCACAGGAUCAGUUGUCUUUUGGGUUCUUGGACUCACCUGCAUGGGAACUCUGAGAAGUUCUUUGUGUGGAAGUCUGAAUCCCUUCCUGGACACUUGAGGAGGAAGACUGAAGCUCUGUCCCCAGACAAGACGGCAGGAAGGGGUCAAGCUUUGGCUUUUUAUAGCCUCAGGACUCCAAGAGCAAAAACUGCGUCUCAAUCAUGCCCAGGCUGUACAAGCUCCAGGAUGCAGCAGAGGAGGGAAAGCCUAAGAGGCUAAAAUUCUCAGCACACAAGAUGAAGGAGCCACAAGAGGGUCUGUCUCUGGGAAGACCCCACAAGGUCCUGCUCAG
Cervus elaphus (red deer) is the source of this 591-nucleotide long non-coding RNA. RefSeq lists it as uncharacterized. Lineage: Eukaryota; Metazoa; Chordata; Mammalia; Artiodactyla; Cervidae. The record is from RefSeq and is a predicted model, not a curated record. The transcript has 4 exons.